CUACACAGAUUUCCCGCCGGCAGUGACUGUGAGGUGUGGUCCUUCAGCAGCCGUAAUAAUUGGAUUAAAAACCUUAAUAGAAAGGACUUUGAGCCAACUAAAAAUAGCAGGAUUUGCUCAAUCCACUUUCAGGAUGGGAAACCAUCAAAGAAUAACCCCUACCCAUCACUGCACAUGGGAUAUAAACCUCAUAAACCACUAUCUUCUGGCAGACAUGCCCCAAGAAUGAGACAAGAUUUUAAGCUGCAAUCAUCAAUUCAAGAGCAAGAAUCUGUGUCUGAGCAUGCCGUUCACGAGAUGCCACAUGCUUCCCCUGUAUGUGGAGAAACCAUACUGCCUGCUUCUUUAGCAACCGUGUAAAGACGCCUCAGUGCAGUGGUAUGAUUUUAGCACUGCAGAUAACACAUAUGCUAAAAAUCGCAGUUGCCCCAUAAAAAGCCAAGUGAAAGCAACUCAGACAUGUCAGACGGAUACCUCUCCCGAACUGUCCGCAUCUGAUAUGGGUGAUGAUACGAGCAAAUUCUAUACUGGCUUGAUUGUCCAUGUAUUUUGGGCAUUGGUUAAAUGCCUGUCAAUUUUGCCAAAUGUGCCAACUUUCAAGAUGAAGCUCUGCAAUCAACUUCUGCUUGUGUUGAUGCGACUCCGACUUGGUUUGUUCUUCUUUGACUUGGGAACACGUUUUAAGGUUUCCCAAUCUACAGCAUGCCAGAUUUUCAGAGAAUGGAUUCCCAUCUUGGCAAGAUUUAUGCGUGAACACUUGAUAUUUUGGCCUUCGAGGGACACACUGCAAAGGAUCAGACCAAGAUGCUUUUUGGAACACUAUCCUUGGGCCACUUGUAUAAUAGAUUGUACCGAAAUGUUUGUACAAAGACCACGGAACCUGAAACAACGUGCUCAGACCUAUUCAAAUUAUAAGCAUCACAAUACAUUCAAGCUUCUUUAUUGUAUUGCUCCUAAUGGCUUUGUCAUGUACUUAUCAAAACUAUUUGGUGGGCGUGCGAGUGACAAAUUUAUCACUCA
Long non-coding RNA from Patiria miniata (bat star), 1020 nucleotides. RefSeq lists it as uncharacterized. The transcript has 3 exons. NCBI's taxonomy places the organism in Eukaryota, Metazoa, Echinodermata, Asteroidea, Valvatida, Asterinidae. The record is from RefSeq and is a predicted model, not a curated record.